Molecule: long non-coding RNA, 1077 nt
Filed under: Nicotiana benthamiana
Lineage: Eukaryota; Viridiplantae; Streptophyta; Magnoliopsida; Solanales; Solanaceae
Description: long non-coding RNA (NBEN_LNC017740)
Source: RNAcentral
CUCUUUGAAACUCGACGUCCUCGUCGAGGUUAACUUAAUUUAUGAGCCCCAACGAACAAGCAACGCCCCUUGCCCACCUUUCUUUCUCUUCGUUUCUUCACAUCUGUGUUCACUCGCUUCCUUGCCAUUUCUGUCUCAAAAAAUGCAAUUCUACUCAUAAGAGGCUUAAGUUCUUUGCCUUCAACAGCAAUUCCCUCCAAUGCUUCCAGUUUUGUUAGCCUUUCCCGCAGUUCAUUGUUACCACUAGCCAUGUUCUCGAACAAGACCACGAAAUCUGCCACUGCCUGUCGUGUCUCCGCCAUGAACAUGAUCUUCUCUCGAUCUGCUCUGAUACAAGUUGUCACAGGAUCGUUUUGUAUCACUAUAAAAUGGCCAGCGCGGCAGCCAAGCACCGGCUUAACUUCAUGCGAACACGAUCUGCUCUCGAUCUGCUCUGAUACACUUGUGAUGGGCUCGUUUUGUGUCACUCUAAAACGGCCCACGCGGCAGCCAAGCACCUCCUUGACUUCAGCCUGCUCCAACACUCUACCAAAAUUUCAACAACUUUGGACUUUGAUUAAUUUCGGCAGUCUUUCAACGUAGUAAACUUUAGACUGAUUUAGGCAACGAAAAUAUAGUGAAGGGGCAGAAAUAAAACGUGAACACAAGACACACAAUAUACAGGAACUCUUUCCCAACUUUGUAUUUAACUCGAGAAUACAAAGAAAACUCAAACUCAAAGUACACCCCGCUAAUAAAAAAUGAAGAUCACUCUUGACCCACACAAGACUACUCUUAGCCUUAGUGUUUUCACUCUUGAAAACAAGACUUAGGACUCUUCGUAAAUCAGAAAACAUGCACUCUACACGUUUUCCUCUCUAUUAUGAUCUCUCUCACGUUUUUCUCCUUCUUAGGACUUAGGACUCUUCCUAAGUCAGAAAACAUUCCCUCGUCACGUUUUCCACUCUAUUGUGAGCUCUCUCACGUUUUUCUCCUUCCUAGGACAUAGGACUCUUCCUAAGUCAGAAAAUAUGCCCUCGUCACGUUUUCCACUCUAUUGUGAGCUCUCUCACGUUUUUCUCCUUAAGUCACAANNNN